This 484-nucleotide ribosomal RNA is filed under the name uncultured bacterium. RNAcentral describes it as "partial 16S ribosomal RNA". It matches the Rfam family "Bacterial small subunit ribosomal RNA", at positions 30 to 507 of the family's 1533-position model. The record is from RNAcentral.
AGUGAACGCUGGCGGCAGGCCUAACACAUGCAAGUCGAGCGGAACCUCGGGGGCAACCCUGGCGGGGAGCGGCGGACGGGUGAGGAAUUCCUCGGAAUCUGCCUUUUCGUGGGGGAAAACGUACGAAAACUUAAGCUUAUACUGCAAACGUCCUACGGGAGAAAGUGGGGGACCGCAGGGCCUCACGAGUACAGAUUAGCCGACGAACGUUUGGGUAGUUGGGGGGGUAAAGGCCCACCAAGGCGAGGACGGGUAGCUGGGCUGAGAGGAAGACCAGCCACACUGGGAGUGAGACACGCCACAGACUCCUGCGGUAGGCAGCAGUCGGGAAUAUUGGGCGAUGGGCGCAAGCCUGAUCCAGCCAUGCCGCGUGUGUGAAGAAGUCGUUCGGUUUGUAAAGCGCUGUUGUCCGGAAAGAAAUACAUGGAGUUAAUACCUGCGGAUAAUGACGGUACCGGAAGAAUAAGCACCGGCUAACUUCGUG